CACGAACCCGUACGAACGUUAUUCGGAAUUACUGGGCUUAAAGGGUUUGUAGGCGGCCUUGUAAGUCAGGUGUGAAAGCCCUCGGCGUCAACCGAGGAACAGCGCUUGUAUACUGCAAGGCGUUGUAGGGAGGACAGGGGUAAGGCGGAACUGAUGGUGGAGCGGUGAAAUGCGUUGAUAUCAUCAGGAACACCGGUGGGGAAAGCGGCUUACUGGGUCUCUUCUGACGCUGAGGAACGAAAGCUAGGGUAGCGAAC
This 257-nucleotide ribosomal RNA is filed under the name uncultured bacterium. Its description in RNAcentral is "partial 16S ribosomal RNA". It matches the Rfam family "Bacterial small subunit ribosomal RNA", at positions 524 to 773 of the family's 1533-position model. The record is from RNAcentral.